This 881-nucleotide long non-coding RNA is filed under the name Mytilus galloprovincialis (Mediterranean mussel). The record is from RNAcentral. Lineage: Eukaryota; Metazoa; Mollusca; Bivalvia; Mytilida; Mytilidae.
UUUAGACGGGACGUAUUAUGGUAUACCGUUGUCCGUCCGUCCGUCCGUCCGUCGUCCACACUUCGGACAAUAACUCAAAAACACUUUCACCAAUUUCCAUGAAACUUAAGUGAAUUGUUUAUAUCUAUUGACGUAAGCUCCCUUUCGUUUUUUUUUUUAAUUUCAGAUUUUAAGUUUUGGAUUUAUGGGGCUUUAUUCAUAAAAAAGGGGGGAUUUUCAACACUUCGGACAAUAACUCAAAAAGGCUUUCACCAAUGUCCAUGAAACUUUGGUGAAUUGUUUAUAUCUAUUGAUGUAAGCUCCCUUUCAAUUUUUAUAAAUUUCAGAUUUUAAGUUUUGGAUUUAUGGGGUUUUAUUCAUAAAAAAAGGGGGAUUUUCAACACUUCGGACGAUAACUCAAAAAGGCUUUCACCAAUGUCCAUGAAACUUUGGUGAAUUGUUUAUAUCUAUUGAUGUAAGCUCAUUUCAAUUUUUAUAAAUUUCAGAUUUUAAGUUUUGAAUUUAUGGGGCUUUAUUCAUAAAAAAAAAAGGGGGAUUUUCAACACUUCGGACAAUAACUCAAAAAGGCUUUCACCAAUGUCCAUGAAACUUUGGUGAAUUGUUUAUAUCUAUUGAUGUAAGCUCCCUUUCAAUUUUUAUAAAUUUCAGAUUUUGAGUUUUGGAUUUAUGGGGCUUUAUUCAUAAAAAAAAGGGGGAUUUUCAACACUUCGGACAAUAACUCAAAAAGGCUUUCACCAAUGUCCAUGAAACUUUGGUGAAUUGUUUAUAUCUAUUGAUGUACGCUCCCUUUCAAUUUUUAUAAAUUUCAGAUUUUACAUUUCCGUGUUAUGAAUUUUUAUGCUUAAAAAAGGGGAUUUUCCAAUUUUGGGACAAUAACUAAC